RNAcentral lists this ribosomal RNA (435 nucleotides) under uncultured microorganism. RNAcentral describes it as "bacterial SSU rRNA". It matches the Rfam family "Bacterial small subunit ribosomal RNA", at positions 346 to 795 of the family's 1533-position model. The record is from RNAcentral.
GGGCAGCAACUAGGAAUUUUGCGCAAUGGACGAAAGUCUGACGCAGCGACGCCGCGUGCGGGAUGAAGGCCUUAGGGUCGUAAACCGCUGUGGAGAGGGAAGAAGAUCUGACGGUACCUCUCUAGAAAGCACCUGCUAACUACGUGCCAGAAGCCUCGGUGAUACGUAGGGUGCAAGCGUUAUCCGGAUUUACUGGGCGUAAAGAGUCUCGUAGGCGGUUUGGUAAGUGAUUGGUGAAAUCCUUAGGCUCAACCUAAGAAUUGCCGGUCAUACUAUCAGACUAGAGUAGUUUCGGGGAAGUUGGAAUUCACGGUGUAGGGGUGAAAUCCGUUGAUAUCGUGAAGAACACCAAGGGCGAAGGCAGACUUCUAGGAACUCACUGACGCUGAUGAACGAAAGCUAGGGGAGCAAACGGGAUUAGAUACCCGUGUAGUC